CAUUACACAAGCAAGCAAAUAGAGUCGUAGGAUUUGGAGAAGCGAUGAACCUGAGAAACUUUUCUCCCGCAGUCAUCACUCUCACUCUCCCAGAGUCAUCGAAGUCCAGUGGCAAGACAAAUGAGGCCUGGAGAUGACCAGAACUUAGUGGAUGAACUUGAGGUCUUCCGUGUCUAACCAAGCUCUAAGAAUUCCAGAGGGCCUGCAUCAGCUGCCUUCGUGAUCAUUAGAACAAACUGUUCUCAUCUGCCCAUUCUUCUGGGGAAAGUCUUCCCACGCUUGGGGUAGACAUUCCCCUAACUCACUGAUGGGUUUGAGGCCCAUAGGUUCCCCUUAAUUUGGUUUAGCCCAUCUGCCAAGAUGGUUUUA
This 369-nucleotide long non-coding RNA is filed under the name Phascolarctos cinereus (koala). RNAcentral's name for it is "lncRNA (ENSPCIG00000036097.1)". Lineage: Eukaryota; Metazoa; Chordata; Mammalia; Diprotodontia; Phascolarctidae. The record is from RNAcentral.